Molecule: RNA transcript, 1310 nt
Organism: Daucus carota subsp. sativus
Lineage: Eukaryota; Viridiplantae; Streptophyta; Magnoliopsida; Apiales; Apiaceae
Exons: 3
Source: RefSeq, a predicted model, not a curated record
AAUUUAGAAGUAUGCUCAGAAAGUCGUCGCAAAAAUACGAACGCAGUAUUUACGUUCCAAGCAUCUUUAUAUGAAAUGCCGCGGUGUUUCUUUUACCUCCGGAAAUCAGUUUCAUUUGUAUUACAAUUCAACUCAAUCUGCGUAACCUAACCAUCCCCACAUGCAACACGAAAUUUAAAUAAAUAUUCGAAUCAAACCCCCCAGUUGUCAUACAACAACUAGUUGAAUUCAAAUUAAAUCCUCUCUUCGUUUAACUGUUUUAUUAAAUCAUCGUCAUCUUCAUCACCGCCGAGUUUAUCCGUUUGCCUCGAUUUCAACAAUUUUAUCCUCCCCACCGACUAAUUCUCUCGCUUUAUUCGCGUAUAAAUUAAUUCAUCACCUCCUUGCUUAUUUGUUUCUUCGAUUUCAUUAAAUUUAGCGAUUUUUGUUUUAAUUAUGAUGACGAGACAAGAUCAACAAUCUAGGGUUUUCCAUGAGCUGUCGGCUCUCAUCCUCAACAUCCUGCGAUCUCCGCCGACUCCGAUUCACUUCUCCGAUCACUCUCCGGCGAGUCCGCGGCGGCCGUCGCUGCCGCAGCUGACGCCGGCGGGAUUCGCGUCGCUGCUGCUGGGGAUAUCGUUGGCGAUGAUGCUGUGUGGCUCGGUGACGUUUUUUAUCGGCUUUUUGUUGAUGCCGUGGGUGAUUGGAUUGGUUUUGGUGUUUUAUUUCGUCGGAAUUGUGUCGAGUUUGUCGAUGAUCGGUCGUGCUAUUCUUUGCUACACUUUGUCGCCUCCUUCGCCUCGAAAAGAUGUUCCCGGUCUAUGGAAUGGUUACCAACAAGACUAGAGGGUCUGUGGUUGAUUCAAAAUUGCCCGGAUCUAGUUUGCAUAUCUAUUUAUGAUAUUAAUCACUAAGGUGAAGAAAUGCAUGCCUGGAAACUCCUGUGAAGAAGCAGAUAGUAGGACCACGCCUGUGGGACGAUGAUCGAGCAGCACAAACUAUCUUUUGCUACGUGCUGCUAGUAGAAUUUGCCGAAUACUGUAAAGUGUAGUAUCGGAGGUAAUAUGGUUGCACCUCCGGAUGAUACAAAACCAGGACGUGUGGAUAUAUCUUCUCUAGGCGUGAAAGAAGUAGCAGGAAAGUCUUCUACCUGUUUCCAGUUGUUACUAUUUUACCCGAAUCUACGUUUGCUGAUUUCUUUCAUCUUCGAAAGUUGUAUAAUUUUCCUUCUUACAAUCAUCAAUAGAACUUACUAUGUUGAAGUACUAUAUUGAGAUUCCAGACACAGAAACAAAACGACAUGGUGAAGCUCUCAGCAAAACUCUGGAGUC